This 1395-nucleotide ribosomal RNA is filed under the name uncultured bacterium. RNAcentral's name for it is "bacterial SSU rRNA". It matches the Rfam family "Bacterial small subunit ribosomal RNA". The record is from RNAcentral.
AGAGUUUGAUCCUGGCUCAGAUUGAACGCUGGCGGCAGGCCUAACACAUGCAAGUCGAGCGGUAGAGAGGAGCUUGCUCCUCUUGAGAGCGGCGGACGGGUGAGUAAUGCCUAGGAAUCUGCCUGGUAGUGGGGGAUAACGUUCGGAAACGGACGCUAAUACCGCAUACGUCCUACGGGAGAAAGCAGGGGACCUUCGGGCCUUGCGCUAUCAGAUGAGCCUAGGUCGGAUUAGCUAGUUGGUGAGGUAAUGGCUCACCAAGGCGACGAUCCGUAACUGGUCUGAGAGGAUGAUCAGUCACACUGGAACUGAGACACGGUCCAGACUCCUACGGGAGGCAGCAGUGGGGAAUAUUGGACAAUGGGCGAAAGCCUGAUCCAGCCAUGCCGCGUGUGUGAAGAAGGUCUUCGGAUUGUAAAGCACUUUAAGUUAGGAGGAAGGGCAGUAAAUUAAUACUUUGCUGUUUUGACGUUACCGACAGAAUAAGCACCGGCUAACUCUGUGCCAGCAGCCGCGGUAAUACAGAGGGUGCAAGCGUUAAUCGGAAUUACUGGGCGUAAAGCGCGCGUAGGUGGUUUGUUAAGUUGGAUGUGAAAUCCCCGGGCUCAACCUGGGAACUGCAUUCAAAACUGACUGACUAGAGUAUGGUAGAGGGUGGUGGAAUUUCCUGUGUAGCGGUGAAAUGCGUAGAUAUAGGAAGGAACACCAGUGGCGAAGGCGACCACCUGGACUAAUACUGACACUGAGGUGCGAAAGCGUGGGGAGCAAACUGGAUUAGAUACCCUGGUAGUCCACGCCGUAAACGAUGUCAACUAGCCGUUGGAAGCCUUGAGCUUUUAGUGGCGCAGCUAACGCAUUAAGUUGACCGCCUGGGGAGUACGGCCGCAAGGUUAAAACUCAAAUGAAUUGACGGGGGCCCGCACAAGCGGUGGAGCAUGUGGUUUAAUUCGAAGCAACGCGAAGAACCUUACCAGGCCUUGACAUCCAAUGAACUUUCUAGAGAUAGAUUGGUGCCUUCGGGAGCAUUGAGACAGGUGCUGCAUGGCUGUCGUCAGCUCGUGUCGUGAGAUGUUGGGUUAAGUCCCGUAACGAGCGCAACCCUUGUCCUUAGUUACCAGCACGUAAUGGUGGGCACUCUAAGGAGACUGCCGGUGACAAACCGGAGGAAGGUGGGGAUGACGUCAAGUCAUCAUGGCCCUUACGGCCUGGGCUACACACGUGCUACAAUGGUCGGUACAGAGGGUUGCCAAGCCGCGAGGUGGAGCUAAUCCCACAAAACCGAUCGUAGUCCGGAUCGCAGUCUGCAACUCGACUGCGUGAAGUCGGAAUCGCUAGUAAUCGCGAAUCAGAAUGUCGCGGUGAAUACGUUCCCGGGCCUUGCACUCACCGCCCGUC